Molecule: ribosomal RNA, 519 nt
Filed under: uncultured bacterium
Lineage: Bacteria
Description: bacterial SSU rRNA
Rfam family: Bacterial small subunit ribosomal RNA
Source: RNAcentral
GUUUGAUUAUGGCUCAGAUUGAACGCUGGCGGCAGGCCUAACACAUGCAAGUCGAACGGUAACAGGAAGAAGCUUGCUUCUUUGCUGACGAGUGGCGGACGGGUGAGUAAUGUCUGGGAAACUGCCUGAUGGAGGGGGAUAACUACUGGAAACGGUAGCUAAUACCGCAUAACGUCGCAAGACCAAAGAGGGGGACCUUCGGGCCUCUUGCCAUCGGAUGUGCCCAGAUGGGAUUAGCUAGUAGGUGGGGUAACGGCUCACCUAGGCGACGAUCCCUAGCUGGUCUGAGAGGAUGACCAGCCACACUGGAACUGAGACACGGUCCAGACUCCUACGGGAGGCAGCAGUGGGGAAUAUUGCACAAUGGGCGCAAGCCUGAUGCAGCCAUGCCCGCGUGUAUGAAGAAGGCCUUCGGGUUGUAAAGUACUUUCAGCGGGGAGGAAGGGAGUAAAGUUAAUACCUUUGCUCAUUGACGUUACCCGCAGAAGAAGCACCGGCUAACUCCGUGCCAGCCGCCGC